This 1530-nucleotide long non-coding RNA is filed under the name Vulpes vulpes (red fox). Its description in RNAcentral is "lncRNA (ENSVVUG00000024080.1)". The record is from RNAcentral. Lineage: Eukaryota; Metazoa; Chordata; Mammalia; Carnivora; Canidae.
CUUCAACAAAGCACUUCCACUUCAUUGUCCAUCUACCUUAGGUCCACAUUUGUUUGUAGCACUAAAGGCUGUAGACGUAAGCCUCACAGGAAGAGCAAAAGUAUGCCCACCUCAGUCAUCCCUCUGGACCAAUAACCUCCACACUCUCCAUGUGCAGAAGGGAUUCUAGACUGAGACGAGGGUUUGGUGUGUUUGAUGUGGUGUUGCUUUUAUGAGCUAAACCUUUAGGCUCAGUGACAACGUAGAUGUUUUAUUACAGAUUAUGAAAACAUGCAAGCCUGGGAGGCUUCAACACUCUGAAGAGGAGGCCCUGCCCAGAGAGGUCAGAAUGUUUGUGUUUGGGAGAAAUGAUUGGAAGGUGCUGGCAUCAAAAGAGCAUGUGCUAGAUGUUAUAAUCAAGCUCAAUAAAUGUAUCUUUCUUUUCUUCUCACCCAGAUCCCUGCUGUCCCUACUGCUGGACAGAAUAUCUACACUGGAUUGAAGAGACACAGGGAUAAGGAUCUCUUCUUCUGGAAUGCAGCCAUUAGGGUAUGGCACCCACCCCAGAGAAAAGGCAGAAGAUACAGGGACCUGGAAUUAACAACUAUCAAGGUCUUGUCUGGAGAUGUAAUAGAGACAGAGGACAAAUACAGUCAGUUCUUGGGCAGUCUCCGUGGAGCUCUUCCUUCAGAGAUGGGUUUCCUGUUCUCACAGCUGUGAAGAAUUAGGAGAAACUGCUUCCAUCACUCAGUUCUCCAGGUGAGAACCCAUCCAGCUCUUCUGGAGAAGUUGUCAGACUCAGUGCUUGGGUCCAGAUGCUCAGACUGUCAUUUACUCUUGCUGGGGUCUGGAGCAAAGAUGAAAGCAGCAAGAAUCUGGAGGAAGGAGAUAUAGGAAGAGCUACCCAAGGGAGACCUUGCUGCCUGUCCUUGGGGAGGCUUGGCUCCUUAUCCCGUGACCCCACCCUCUCUACUUUAUUCCACUCCUACAUUCCCAGGGACUUACUUCUCAGCUGAAAUGGUCUCCCUUGGAAAUGCUAGUCCUGGAAACAGGAUGUUAAUGAGUCCUCUUGGGCAUGUUUCCUGGCCUGGUAUCCCUGCUCUGAUCUCUCACUAAAUGAGCUCAGACACUCCAGGAUUCUAUGCUACCCUAAGGAGGCACUGAUGGCCCAUUUCUAAAUUGCUGACUGCAUAGACCAAGAAGCAAGGCUUCUUUUCAUGGUCAUUGCUCUGCACCCAGAUCUUAAGGUGGGUUUUGUGUCAAUGUAGGAUACUCCUUCUAGAUCUUUUCCACCCACCACCCCCACCACCCCUUUGUGAUCCUCCCUACCUGGACAUUAUUUCCAGUCCUUAAGAUGUGUCCUAUGGAGCCUAUAGUUAUGGAAUCUUCCCUUCAUUAACCUUGGCUUUCUAUUCGGCCUGUGCAUGGCAUGUGAGUCUUGGUGUUACUGUUGUCUGCCUCAGUGAUACUUCAAAAGAGAGUGAAUCAGGUUGUAAGCAUUGAGCCAAAAAAGAAAAAAGAAAAAUAAAUACACACAGUAUUGAAACUGCA